GACGAACGCUGGCGGCGUGCUUAACACAUGCAAGUCGAACGGAAAGGCCCUGCUUUUGUGGGGUGCUCGAGUGGCGAACGGGUGAGUAACACGUGAGUAACCUGCCCUUGACUUUGGGAUAACUUCAGGAAACUGGGGCUAAUACCGGAUAGGAGCUCCUGCUGCAUGGUGGGGGUUGGAAAGUUUCGGCGGUUGGGGAUGGACUCGCGGCUUAUCAGCUUGUUGGUGGGGUAGUGGCUUACCAAGGCUUUGACGGGUAGCCGGCCUGAGAGGGUGACCGGCCACAUUGGGACUGAGAUACGGCCCAGACUCCUACGGGAGGCAGCAGUGGGGAAUAUUGCACAAUGGGCGGAAGCCUGAUGCAGCAACGCCGCGUGCGGGAUGACGGCCUUCGGGUUGUAAACCGCUUUCGCCUGUGACGAAGCGUGAGUGACGGUAAUGGGUAAAGAAGCACCGGCUAACUACGUGCCAGCAGCCGCGGUGAUACGUAGGGUGCGAGCGUUGUCCGGAUUUAUUGGGCGUAAAGGGCUCGUAGGUGGUUGAUCGCGUCGGAAGUGUAAUCUUGGGGCUUAACCCUGAGCGUGCUUUCGAUACGGGUUGACUUGAGGAAGAUAGGGGAGAAUGGAAUUCCUGGUGGAGCGGUGGAAUGCGCAGAUAUCAGGAGGAACACCAGUGGCGAAGGCGGUUCUCUGGGCCUUUCCUGACGCUGAGGAGCGAAAGCGUGGGGAGCGAACAGGCUUAGAUACCCUGGUAGUCCACGCUGUAAACGGUGGGUACUAGGUGUGGGGUCCAUUCCACGGGUUCCGUGCCGUAGCUAACGCUUUAAGUACCCCGCCUGGGGAGUACGGCCGCAAGGCUAAAACUCAAAGGAAUUGACGGGGCCCCGCACAAGCGGCGGAGCAUGCGGAUUAAUUCGAUGCAACGCGUAGAACCUUACCUGGGUUUGACAUGGAUCGGGAGUGCUCAGAGAUGGGUGUGCCUCUUUUGGGGUCGGUUCACAGGUGGUGCAUGGCUGUCGUCAGCUCGUGUCGUGAGAUGUUGGGUUAAGUCCCGCAACGAGCGCAACCCUUGUUCACUGUUGCCAGCACGUUAUGGUGGGGACUCAGUGGAGACCGCCGGGGUCAACUCGGAGGAAGGUGGGGAUGACGUCAAGUCAUCAUGCCCCUUAUGUCCAGGGCUUCACGCAUGCUACAAUGGCCGGUACAGAGAGUGGCGAGCCUGUGAGGGUGAGCGAAUCUCGGAAAGCCGGUCUCAGUUCGGAUUGGGGUCUGCAACUCGACCUCAUGAAGUCGGAGUCGCUAGUAAUCGCAGAUCAGCAACGCUGCGGUGAAUACGUUCCCGGG
RNAcentral lists this ribosomal RNA (1343 nucleotides) under uncultured bacterium. RNAcentral describes it as "16S ribosomal RNA". It matches the Rfam family "Bacterial small subunit ribosomal RNA", at positions 28 to 1378 of the family's 1533-position model. The record is from RNAcentral.